This 67-nucleotide transfer RNA is filed under the name Marmota monax (woodchuck). Its description in RNAcentral is "tRNA.Thr". The record is from RNAcentral. Lineage: Eukaryota; Metazoa; Chordata; Mammalia; Rodentia; Sciuridae.
GGUUGUGGCUCAAUGGUAGAAUGCUUGCCUGGUAUGUGUGAAGCACUGGGUUCGAGCCUCAGCACCA